Molecule: ribosomal RNA, 2929 nt
Filed under: Salmonella enterica subsp. enterica serovar Enteritidis
Lineage: Bacteria; Pseudomonadati; Pseudomonadota; Gammaproteobacteria; Enterobacterales; Enterobacteriaceae
Also listed under: 19 other names
Description: bacterial LSU rRNA
Rfam family: Bacterial large subunit ribosomal RNA
Source: RNAcentral
GGGUUGUGAGGUUAAGCGACUAAGCGUACACGGUGGAUGCCCUGGCAGUCAGAGGCGAUGAAGGGCGUACUAAUCUGCGAUAAGCGCCGGUAAGGUGAUAUGAACCGUUAUAACCGGCGAUACCCGAAUGGGGAAACCCAGUGUGAUUCGUCACACUAUCAUUAACUGAAUCCAUAGGUUAAUGAGGCGAACCGGGGGAACUGAAACAUCUAAGUACCCCGAGGAAAAGAAAUCAACCGAGAUUCCCCCAGUAGCGGCGAGCGAACGGGGAGGAGCCCAGAGCCUGAAUCAGCAUGUGUGUUAGUGGAAGCGUCUGGAAAGGCGCGCGAUACAGGGUGACAGCCCCGUACACAAAAGCGCAUGUGCUGUGAGCUCGAUGAGUAGGGCGGGACACGUGGUAUCCUGUCUGAAUAUGGGGGGACCAUCCUCCAAGGCUAAAUACUCCUGACUGACCGAUAGUGAACCAGUACCGUGAGGGAAAGGCGAAAAGAACCCCGGCGAGGGGAGUGAAAAAGAACCUGAAACCGUGUACGUACAAGCAGUGGGAGCACAGGUUUACCUGUGUGACUGCGUACCUUUUGUAUAAUGGGUCAGCGACUUAUAUUCUGUAGCAAGGUUAACCGAAUAGGGGAGCCGGAGGGAAACCGAGUCUUAAUUGGGCGUUAAGUUGCAGGGUAUAGACCCGAAACCCGGUGAUCUAGCCAUGGGCAGGUUGAAGGUUGGGUAACACUAACUGGAGGACCGAACCGACUAAUGUUGAAAAAUUAGCGGAUGACCUGUGGCUGGGGGUGAAAGGCCAAUCAAACCGGGAGAUAGCUGGUUCUCCCCGAAAGCUAUUUAGGUAGCGCCUCGUGAAUUCAUCUCCGGGGGUAGAGCACUGUUUCGGCUAGGGGGCCAUCCCGGCUUACCAACCCGAUGCAAACUGCGAAUACCGGAGAAUGUUAUCACGGGAGACACACGGCGGGUGCUAACGUCCGUCGUGAAGAGGGAAACAACCCAGACCGCCAGCUAAGGUCCCAAAGUCAUGGUUAAGUGGGAAACGAUGUGGGAAGGCCCAGACAGCCAGGAUGUUGGCUUAGAAGCAGCCAUCAUUUAAAGAAAGCGUAAUAGCUCACUGGUCGAGUCGGCCUGCGCGGAAGAUGUAACGGGGCUAAACCAUGCACCGAAGCUGCGGCAGCGACGCUUAUGCGUUGUUGGGUAGGGGAGCGUUCUGUAAGCCUGCGAAGGUGGCCUGUGAGGGUUGCUGGAGGUAUCAGAAGUGCGAAUGCUGACAUAAGUAACGAUAAAGCGGGUGAAAAGCCCGCUCGCCGGAAGACCAAGGGUUCCUGUCCAACGUUAAUCGGGGCAGGGUGAGUCGACCCCUAAGGCGAGGCCGAAAGGCGUAGUCGAUGGGAAACGGGUUAAUAUUCCCGUACUUGGUGUUACUGCGAAGGGGGGACGGAGAAGGCUAUGUUGGCCGGGCGACGGUUGUCCCGGUUUAAGCGUGUAGGUGUGUGUUCCAGGUAAAUCCGGUUCACUUUAACACUGAGGCGUGACGACGAGGCACUACGGUGCUGAAGCAACAAAUGCCCUGCUUCCAGGAAAAGCCUCUAAGCAUCAGGUAACAUCAAAUCGUACCCCAAACCGACACAGGUGGUCAGGUAGAGAAUACCAAGGCGCUUGAGAGAACUCGGGUGAAGGAACUAGGCAAAAUGGUGCCGUAACUUCGGGAGAAGGCACGCUGACACGUAGGUGAAGUGAUUUACUCAUGGAGCUGAAGUCAGUCGAAGAUACCAGCUGGCUGCAACUGUUUAUUAAAAACACAGCACUGUGCAAACACGAAAGUGGACGUAUACGGUGUGACGCCUGCCCGGUGCCGGAAGGUUAAUUGAUGGGGUCAGCGCAAGCGAAGCUCCUGAUCGAAGCCCCGGUAAACGGCGGCCGUAACUAUAACGGUCCUAAGGUAGCGAAAUUCCUUGUCGGGUAAGUUCCGACCUGCACGAAUGGCGUAAUGAUGGCCAGGCUGUCUCCACCCGAGACUCAGUGAAAUUGAACUCGCUGUGAAGAUGCAGUGUACCCGCGGCAAGACGGAAAGACCCCGUGAACCUUUACUAUAGCUUGACACUGAACAUUGAGCCUUGAUGUGUAGGAUAGGUGGGAGGCUUUGAAGUGUGGACGCCAGUCUGCAUGGAGCCGACCUUGAAAUACCACCCUUUAAUGUUUGAUGUUCUAACGUGGACCCGUUACCCGGGUUGCGGACAGUGUCUGGUGGGUAGUUUGACUGGGGCGGUCUCCUCCUAAAGAGUAACGGAGGAGCACGAAGGUUGGCUAAUCCUGGUCGGACAUCAGGAGGUUAGUGCAAUGGCAUAAGCCAGCUUGACUGCGAGCGUGACGGCGCGAGCAGGUGCGAAAGCAGGUCAUAGUGAUCCGGUGGUUCUGAAUGGAAGGGCCAUCGCUCAACGGAUAAAAGGUACUCCGGGGAUAACAGGCUGAUACCGCCCAAGAGUUCAUAUCGACGGCGGUGUUUGGCACCUCGAUGUCGGCUCAUCACAUCCUGGGGCUGAAGUAGGUCCCAAGGGUAUGGCUGUUCGCCAUUUAAAGUGGUACGCGAGCUGGGUUUAGAACGUCGUGAGACAGUUCGGUCCCUAUCUGCCGUGGGCGCUGGAGAACUGAGGGGGGCUGCUCCUAGUACGAGAGGACCGGAGUGGACGCAUCACUGGUGUUCGGGUUGUCAUGCCAAUGGCACUGCCCGGUAGCUAAAUGCGGAAGAGAUAAGUGCUGAAAGCAUCUAAGCACGAAACUUGCCCCGAGAUGAGUUCUCCCUGAGACUUAAAGUCUCCUGAAGGAACGUUGAAGACGACGACGUUGAUAGGCCGGGUGUGUAAGCGCAGCGAUGCGUUGAGCUAACCGGUACUAAUGAACCGUGAGGCUUAACCUUACAACGCCGAAG